CAACAGCUCAAAUUUGAAAUCCGGCUCUUUCAGGGUCCGAGUUGUAAUUUGCAGAGGGCGCUUUGGCGUUGGCAGCGGUCCAAGUUCUUUGGAACAGGACGUCACAGAGGGUGAGAAUCCCGUACGUGGUCGCUAGCCUUCGCCGUGUAAAGCCCCUUCGACGAGUCGAGUUGUUUGGGAAUGCAGCUCUAAAUGGGAGGUAAAUUUCUUCUAAAGCUAAAUACUGGCCAGAGACCGAUAGCGCACAAGUAGAGUGAUCGAAAGAUGAAAAGCACUUUGGAAAGAGAGUCAAAUAGCACGUGAAAUUGUUGAAAGGGAAGCGCUUGCAGCCAGACUUGCCUGUAGUUGCUUAUCCGGACUUUUGUCCGGUGCACUCUUCUGCGGGCAGGCCAGCAUCAGUCUAGGCGGUUGGAUAAAGGUCUCUGUCAUGUACCUCUCUUCGGGGAGGCCUUAUAGGGGAGACGACAUGCAACCAGCCUGGACUGAGGUCCGCGCAUCUGCUAGGAUGCUGGCGUAAUGGCUGUAAGCGGCCCGUCUUGAAACACGGACCAAGGAGUCUAACAUCUAUGCGAGUGUUUGGGUGUCAAGCCCAGACGCGUAAUGAAAGUGAACGGAGGUGGGAACCCUUACGGGUGCACCAUCGACCGAUCCUGAUGUCUUCGGAAGGAUUUGAGUAAGAGCAUGGCUGUUGGGACCCGAAAGAUGGUGAACUAUGCUUGAAUAGGGUGAAGCCAGAGGAAAC
This 742-nucleotide ribosomal RNA is filed under the name Neosetophoma phragmitis. RNAcentral describes it as "partial large subunit ribosomal RNA". It matches the Rfam family "Eukaryotic large subunit ribosomal RNA", at positions 102 to 862 of the family's 3401-position model. Lineage: Eukaryota; Fungi; Ascomycota; Dothideomycetes; Pleosporales; Phaeosphaeriaceae. The record is from RNAcentral.